AUAUUGGACAAUGGGCGAAAGCCUGAUCCAGCAAUGCCGCGUGUGUGAAGAAGGCCUUCGGGUUGUAAAGCACUUUGAUCUGGGAAGAAAAAGCUUUGGCUAAUAUCCAAAGCCUUGACGGUACCAGAGGAACAAGCACCGGCUAACUCUGUGCCAGCAGCCGCGGUAAUACAGAGGGUGCUAGCGUUAAUCGGAUUUACUGGGCGUAAAGCGUGUGUAGGCGGUUCGUUAAGUCGGAUGUGAAAGCCCUGGGCUCAACCUGGGAAUUGCAUUCGAUACUGGCGAGCUAGAGUACGGUAGAGGGCGGCGGAAUUCCGGGUGUAGCGGUGAAAUGCGUAGAUAUCCGGAGGAACACCGAUGGCGAAGGCAACCGCCUGGGCCUGUACUGACGCUGAGACACGAAAGCGUGGGGAGCAAACAGG
Molecule: ribosomal RNA, 422 nt
Filed under: uncultured bacterium
Lineage: Bacteria
Description: bacterial SSU rRNA
Rfam family: Bacterial small subunit ribosomal RNA
Source: RNAcentral